Molecule: transfer RNA, 83 nt
Filed under: Schistocephalus solidus
Lineage: Eukaryota; Metazoa; Platyhelminthes; Cestoda; Diphyllobothriidea; Diphyllobothriidae
Rfam family: tRNA
About the family: Transfer RNA (tRNA) molecules are approximately 80 nucleotides in length.
Source: Rfam by way of RNAcentral
GGCCUCAUAGCUCAUUUGGCUAGAGCGUUGGUUGUACUAAAGCCUUCCCCUUGCUGGCGUGGGUUCGAAUCCCACCGAGGCCG